Molecule: transfer RNA, 86 nt
Filed under: bacterium
Lineage: Bacteria
Description: tRNA-Ser
Rfam family: tRNA
About the family: Transfer RNA (tRNA) molecules are approximately 80 nucleotides in length. Their secondary structure includes four short double-helical elements and three loops (D, anti-codon, and T loops).
Source: RNAcentral
GGAGAGGUGGCCGAGUGGCUUAAGGCGGCGGUUUGCUAAAUCGCUGGCGCGAAAGCGCCUCGCAGGUUCGAAUCCUGUCCUCUCCG